CCUACGGGUGGCAGCAGUGAGGAAUAUUGGUCAUUGGACGAAAGUCUGAUCCAGCCAUGCCGCGUGCAUGAAGACGGCCUUAUGAGUUUUAAAUUGCUUCUGUACAAGGGUAAACCUGAAUAUGUGUAUUCUGCUGAAUGUACUGUACGCAUAAGGAACGGCUAACUCCGUGCCAGCAGCCGCGGCAAUACGGAGGAUCCAAGCGUUGUCCGGAUUUAUUGGGUUUAAAGGGUGCGUAGGCGGGUUGAUAAGUUAGAUGUGAAAUGUCCGGGCUCAACUCGGGAACUGCCUCUAAUACUGUUGAUCUAGAGAGUAGAUGCGGUAGGCGGAAUGUAUGGUGUAGCGGUGAAAUGCUUAGAGAUCAUACAGAACACCGAUGGCGAAGGCAGCUUACCAAUCUAUAACUGACGUUGAGGCACGAAAGCGUGGGGAGCAAACAGGAUUAGAUACCCGGGUAGUC
This 460-nucleotide ribosomal RNA is filed under the name uncultured bacterium. Its description in RNAcentral is "partial 16S ribosomal RNA". It matches the Rfam family "Bacterial small subunit ribosomal RNA", at positions 338 to 795 of the family's 1533-position model. The record is from RNAcentral.